Molecule: small nucleolar RNA, 92 nt
Organism: Pistacia vera
Lineage: Eukaryota; Viridiplantae; Streptophyta; Magnoliopsida; Sapindales; Anacardiaceae
Product: small nucleolar RNA snoR8a
Exons: 1
Source: RefSeq, a predicted model, not a curated record
CUGGUUGCGAUGAUUAAAAAAAAAUUCCUCGUACUGAAUAUGCUAUGGCAAUGGCAUGAAAGACUCGUUUACACCCAUAGAAUAUGAGCGCC